GAGUUUGAUUCUGGCUCAGGACGAACGCUGGCGGCGCGCCUAACACAUGCAAGUCGAACGAGAGAUGAGGAGCUUGCUCUUCAAAUCGAGUGGCGAACGGGUGAGUAACGCGUGAGGAACCUGCCUCAAAGAGGGGGACAACAGUUGGAAACGACUGCUAAUACCGCAUAAGCCCACAGCUCGGCAUCGAGCAGAGGGAAAAGGAGCAAUCCGCUUUGAGAUGGCCUCGCGUCCGAUUAGCUAGUUGGUGAGGUAACGGCCCACCAAGGCGACGAUCGGUAGCCGGACUGAGAGGUUGAACGGCCACAUUGGGACUGAGACACGGCCCAGACUCCUACGGGAGGCAGCAGUGGGGAAUAUUGCACAAUGGGGGAAACCCUGAUGCAGCGACGCCGCGUGGAGGAAGAAGGUCUUCGGAUUGUAAACUCCUGUUGUUGAGGAAGAUAAUGACGGUACUCAACUAGGAAGUGACGGCUAACUACGUGCCAGCAGCCGCGGUAAAACGUAGGUCACAAGCGUUGUCCGGAAUUACUGGGUGUAAAGGGAGCGCAGGCGGGAGAACAAGUUGGAAGUGAAAUCCAUGGGCUCAACCCAUGAACUGCUUUCAAAACUGUUUUUCUUGAGUAGUGCAGAGGUAGGCGGAAUUCCCGGUGUAGCGGUGGAAUGCGUAGAUAUCGGGAGGAACACCAGUGGCGAAGGCGGCCUACUGGGCACCAACUGACGCUGAGGCUCGAAAGUGUGGGUAGCAAACAGGAUUAGAUACCCUGGUAGUCCACACCGUAAACGAUGAUUAUUAGGUGGUGGGAGGAUUGACCCCUUCAGUGCCGCAGUUAACACAAUAAAGUAAUCCACCUGGGGAGUACGACCGCAAGAUUGAAAAUCAAAGGAAUUGACGGGGGCCCGCCCAAGCAGUGGAGUAUGUGGUUUAAUUUGACGCAACGCGAAGAACCUUACCAAGUCUUGACAUCCCUCGACGAUGCUGGAAACAGUAUUUCUCUUCGGAGCAUGGAGACAGGAGGUGCAUGGUUGUCGUCAGCUCGUGUCGUGAGAUGUUGGGUUAAGUCCCGCAACGAGCGCAACCCUUAUGGUCAGUUACUACGCAAGAGGACUCUGGCCAGACUGCCGUUGACAAAACGGAGGAAGGUGGGGAGGACGUCAAAUCAUCAUGCCCCCUAUGACUUGGGCUACACACGUACUACAAUGGCGUUAAACAAAGAGAAGCAAGACCGCGAGGGGGAGCAAAACUCAGAAACAACGUCCCAGUUCGGACUGCAGGCUGCAACUCGCCUGCACGAAGUCGGAAUUGCUAGUAAUCGUGGAUCAGCAUGCCACGGUGAA
This 1338-nucleotide ribosomal RNA is filed under the name uncultured bacterium. RNAcentral describes it as "bacterial SSU rRNA". It matches the Rfam family "Bacterial small subunit ribosomal RNA", at positions 9 to 1366 of the family's 1533-position model. The record is from RNAcentral.